AUUCCAAGAACGAUGGCAACAGUUGUCAUGUCAUGGGACAGUGCCUAGAACUUCUAUGGAAACCCCAGUGCUACCAAGAUAGUCACACAAAAAAGAAAACCAGUUUUAAUGGGAAGUUAGAUAAAAUAAAGACGCAGUUUUCACCAAUUCGCAAGCCCGCUGGUGCUCUCUCCACUUGAGAUUCAAAAGAACCUCUCACCUGGACCCCUGUUUCUCCGAAGAGGAUUUCGAGAGCUCAGGAGUUCAGGAUGGGCUUUAGUACCACAACAGGGUCUUCCUAAGUAGGUGUGUCUGGCCUGAAACUUACAAGGCAAAGCAGGCGAGCCUUGAACUAGACAUCUGCCUGCCUCUACCUUUCAAAUGUUGGGAUGAAAGGCAUUUGCGAUCUCGGCCAGCGCUUUCUUCACACCUAUGCAGUCCACAGUCCUCCGCACUGGGGAUGAAUGGUGCCACUCGAAAGGUAUGGGUGGUCCCAUGUCAAUUAAUGUGACCAAGAUAAUGGGCCUCCAGCAUGUCCAGAGACAUCCCCAGUGAUUCCAACCUCCGUCAAGCUGUGUAAGUGCUUUGAGAGUUCAGGCCAUUUCAAGUUUCCCCCUCUCUGCUCCUUGCUUAUCGUUAUGGCGUUCCUCUACUUUUCCUGCCUCCACACCUGCCUCGUGCCACCAUGCUUCUCUGCUGUGGUGAGCUUUUAUCCCUCACCGUAACCCCAAAUAAAUGCUUUCUGCAAUAA
This is a non-coding RNA of Rattus norvegicus (Norway rat), 730 nucleotides long. Lineage: Eukaryota; Metazoa; Chordata; Mammalia; Rodentia; Muridae. The record is from RefSeq and is a predicted model, not a curated record.